Molecule: ribosomal RNA, 424 nt
Filed under: uncultured bacterium
Lineage: Bacteria
Description: partial 16S ribosomal RNA
Rfam family: Bacterial small subunit ribosomal RNA
Source: RNAcentral
GUGGGGAAUAUUGGGCAAUGGGCGAAAGCCUGACCCAGCAACGCCGCGUGAAGGAAGAAGGUUUUCGGAUCGUAAACUUCUAUCCUUGGUGAAGAUAAUGACGGUAGCCGAGAAGGAAGCCCCGGCUAACUACGUGCCAGCAGCCGCGGUAAUACGUAGGAGGCAAGCGUUGUCCGGAAUGAUUGGGCGUAAAGGGCGCGUAGGCGGCCUGGUAAGUCUGGAGUGAAAGUCCUGCUUUUAAGGUGGGAAUUGCUUUGGAUACUGUCGGGCUUGAGUGCAGGAGAGGUAAGUGGAAUUCCCGGUGUAGCGGUGAAAUGCGUAGAGAUCGGGAGGAACACCAGUGGCGAAGGCGACUUACUGGACUGUAACUGACGCUGAGGCGCGAAAGUGUGGGGAGCAAACAGGAUUAGAUACCCGGUAGUCC